GUAAAUGCGAUGAAGAGAAGAGUACCAUCAUUAAGACCUACAGAGAGUUGCCGGAGGCUGAGAGGCGCAGGAGAGAUGAAUGGGAAGUACAUCUCGGAGCAGCAGACCGAAAUGCCCUGCAAAGUAGACUCUGCCGGCCGGCACCGAUAGCAGCCAUGGUUGUAAUAAGAUGAUAAUCUUACGCAUACCAAGAAAGCCGUAAAUCGUGAGGUUUACGGGAACGAAGGUGGUACCACGGGCUUAUACCUGUCCUUUCU
Molecule: non-coding RNA, 257 nt
Filed under: Clostridium sp.
Lineage: Bacteria; Bacillati; Bacillota; Clostridia; Eubacteriales; Clostridiaceae
Description: T-box sequence
Rfam family: T-box leader
About the family: Uncharged tRNA acts as the effector for transcription antitermination of genes in the T-box leader family. T-boxes are found upstream of many aminoacyl-tRNA synthetase genes and some amino acid biosynthetic genes usually in Gram-positive bacteria.
Source: RNAcentral